This 301-nucleotide ribosomal RNA is filed under the name uncultured bacterium. RNAcentral's name for it is "partial 16S ribosomal RNA". It matches the Rfam family "Bacterial small subunit ribosomal RNA", at positions 509 to 807 of the family's 1533-position model. The record is from RNAcentral.
CAGCCGCCACGGUAAUACGAAGGGGGCUAGCGUUGCUCGGAAUGACUGGGCGUAAAGGGCGCGUAGGCGGACAGCUUUGUCGGACGUGAAAUUCCAGGGCUUAACCUUGGGGCUGCGUUCGAGACGGGUUGUCUUGAGUGUGGAAGAGGGUCGUGGAAUUCCCAGUGUAGAGGUGAAAUUCGUAGAUAUUGGGAAGAACACCGGUGGCGAAGGCGGCGACCUGGUCCAUUACUGACGCUGAGGCGCGAAAGCGUGGGGAGCAAACAGGAUUAGAUACCCCGGUAGUCCCUGUCUCUUAUAC